UGCCUAGCGGCGGACGGGUGAGUAAUGCUUAGGAAUCUGCCUAUUAGUGGGGGACAACAUUCCGAAAGGAAUGCUAAUACCGCAUACGUCCUACGGGAGAAAGCNNGGGACCUUCGGNCNUUGCGCUAAUAGAUGAGCCUAAGUCGGAUUAGCUAGUUGGUGGGGUAAAGGCCUACCAAGGCGACGAUCUGUAGCGGGUCUGAGAGGAUGAUCCGCCACACUGGGACUGAGACACGGCCCAGACUCCUACGGGAGGCAGCAGUGGGGAAUAUUGGACAAUGGGGGGAACCCUGAUCCAGCCAUGCCGCGUGUGUGAAGAAGGCCUUUUGGUUGUAAAGCACUUUAAGCGAGGAGGAGGCUACUAGUAUUAAUACUACUGGAUAGUGGACGUUACUCGCAGAAUAAGCACCGGCUAACUCUGUGCCAGCAGCCGCGGUAAUACAGAGGGUGCGAGCGUUAAUCGGAUUUACUGGGCGUAAAGCGUGCGUAGGCGGCUGAUUAAGUCGGAUGUGAAAUCCCUGAGCUUAACUUAGGAAUUGCAUUCGAUACUGGUCAGCUAGAGUAUGGGAGAGGAUGGUAGAAUUCCAGGUGUAGCGGUGAAAUGCGUAGAGAUCUGGAGGAAUACCGAUGGCGAAGGCAGCCAUCUGGCCUAAUACUGACGCUGAG
Molecule: ribosomal RNA, 666 nt
Filed under: uncultured bacterium
Lineage: Bacteria
Description: bacterial SSU rRNA
Rfam family: Bacterial small subunit ribosomal RNA
Source: RNAcentral